RNAcentral lists this ribosomal RNA (494 nucleotides) under uncultured bacterium. RNAcentral's name for it is "partial 16S ribosomal RNA". It matches the Rfam family "Bacterial small subunit ribosomal RNA", at positions 28 to 507 of the family's 1533-position model. The record is from RNAcentral.
GACGAACGCUGGCGGCGUGCUUAACACAUGCAAGUCGAACGGAAAGGCCUGUCCUUCCUUGUGUUGGACGGGUACUCGAGUGGCGAACGGGUGAGUAACACGUGAGUGAUCUGCCCCCAACUUGGGUAUAAGCCUGGGAAACUGGGUCUAAUUCCCGAUAGGACUGCAGGGUGGUGCCUGUGGUGGAAAACGAUUUUCUAGUGGUUGGGGAUGAGCUCGCGGCCUAUCAGCUUGUUGGUGGGUUAAUGGCCUACCAAGGCGGCGACGGGUAGCCGGCCUGAGAGGGUGGACGGCCACAUUGGGACUGAGAUACGGCCCAGACUCCUACGGGAGGCAGCAGUGGGGAAUAUUGCACAAUGGGCGGAAGCCUGAUGCAGCGACGCCGCGUGGGGGAUGACGGCCUUCGGGUUGUAAACUCCUUUCGACCGCGAGGAAGCCGCCUGGUUGGAAGGGUGGUGACGGUAGUGGUAGAAGAAGCACCGGCUAACUACGUG